UAGAGGAAGUAAAAGUCGUAACAAGGUUUCCGUAGGUGAACCUGCGGAAGGAUCAUUAUUGAAAUAAACCUGAUGGGUUGUUGCUGGUUCUCUAGGGAGCAUGUGCACGCUUGUCAUCUUUAUAUCUCCACCUGUGCACUUUUUGUAGACCUGGAUAAUCUUUCUGAAUGCACUUGCAUUUCAGGUUUGAGGAAUUGACUUCAUGUCUCUCCUUACAUUUCCAGGCCUAUGUUUCUUCAUAUACCCCUAUGUAUGUUUCAGAAUGUAACAGGAUGGGCCUUUUGUGCCUAUAAAUAUAUACAACUUUCAGCAACGGAUCUCUUGGCUCUCGCAUCGAUGAAGAACGCAGCGAAAUGCGAUAAGUAAUGUGAAUUGCAGAAUUCAGUGAAUCAUCGAAUCUUUGAACGCACCUUGCGCUCCUUGGUAUUCCGAGGAGCAUGCCUGUUUGAGUGUCAUUAAUAUAUCAACCUCUUCGGCUUAUGCUUGUUGAGUGUUGGAUGGUGGGGGUUUUGCUGGUGUCUUAUGAAGUCAGCUCCCCUGAAAUGCAUUAGCGGAACAAUUUGUUGACCGUUCAUUGGUGUGAUAAAAUAUCUACGCUAUUGACGUCAGUCAGUUCAGCUUCUAACAGUCCAUUGACUUGGACAAAUUUUCAUUAAUGUGACCUCAAAUCAGGUAGGACU
RNAcentral lists this ribosomal RNA (680 nucleotides) under Cortinarius infractus var. aeruginosus. Its description in RNAcentral is "eukaryotic LSU rRNA". The stretch from base 302 to 455 matches the Rfam family "5.8S ribosomal RNA". The record is from RNAcentral. Lineage: Eukaryota; Fungi; Basidiomycota; Agaricomycetes; Agaricales; Cortinariaceae.